Molecule: long non-coding RNA, 3169 nt
Filed under: Equus caballus (horse)
Lineage: Eukaryota; Metazoa; Chordata; Mammalia; Perissodactyla; Equidae
Description: lncRNA (ENSECAG00000056244.1)
Source: RNAcentral
GCUCUCUGACCUGACCCUCGAGCUGGUCGCUCUCCUGCGCUGCUGAUACGGCCCGUCCUGUCUCCAGUUUUUACGUCAGUAAAACACUUAGCUAUGAGACACUUUAACGUCUCCCUCCCAGCUUUUGCUGAGCCUUAACUUUCUCACCUGUAGCAGAGGCCUUUGGCCCUGUGUGUCAAUGGCUGUCACGAGGGGGCGGGUGUCACCACUGAGGCCGCCGGCAGAGGAGGAGCCCCUCCAGCUCGGCCCGGGUGGGCGAGGGGUCUCCACAUCCUGAGCCGCCGGGACCGCCGGAGGAGUUUGCUCUGUCCCGAGGAUAAAAAAGAAAAGUUCACCAAUGUAAAACGUUGAACCACGGGAACACGAACAAAAGAGACGUAAUUUAUCAAAUGUCCGAUGGCGGAGGACUCCCUAACCUUGAAAAGUGAUGGAUGAAUUCUCUCACACACUAAAGCACAAACAUUUAAAACUUCAACCCAAAAAAGGAAACCAAAAUUUACCAAACAGUAAUCUGGGGAAAAUAAAUUCAACAAACACCACAAAAGAUUAAGAUCCUUAAUUGAGGAAGACCUUAUCGAAUGAGUAAGAAAGACGCUGAGACUCCAGUAGCUAAACGGGUGGAGAACACGAGCAGACAAUUCACCACAGAAGACAAAUGGUUGACAGGGAAGAAAAAUUUCUCGCUAGCAAUCAUAUCAAACAACAAAGCAAAGGAUUAAAACAAUAAGAUCUCUGAAACACCUUUUAUGGUUUUCCAUGCCACUUAGAAGAGAAGUCAAAAAUUUUUUUUAUGAGGAAGAUUGUCGCUGAGCUAACAUCUGUGCCCAUCUUCCUCUGUUUUAUGUGGGAUGCGGGCUCAGCACAGCUUGACAAGUGGUGCUGGGUCCCCGCCCAGGAUCCAGGCCUACAAAUCUGGCCGGAGCAGAGCACGAACUUAACCACUACACCACGGGGCCAGCCCCUCAAAUUUUUUAUCUUGGCAAAGUCCAGGAUGGUGUGAGGGCUCCAACGCAUUGUCUACCAUUCUACCCAUUUCUUUCAGCCACGAUCUGCUUUUUCCUGACCUUUAAACACCUGGAUCUCCCACCUCUGGCCCUUCAUGGGAAUGUCCUUCUCUCAGCUGCUGGCAUGAUUGAACCUUCUGAUCCUCAGGCCUCAGAUGAGUCACCUUCUCAGUGGGGUCCUCCCUGUCCACCCUGUGUACAUAGGUGCUCCCUCUGUGCUCUGUCCGAUCAGGCUGUGUCUUCAUCAUACUUCCCAGUUAACUUACUUGUUUUGGUGCCAGAAUCCUCCUGCCCCUAAUGAUCAUCUCUAAGUCAGCUUUACCCACCACUCCCAGUGCCCAACUCAGCGUGACACUUAGUAGGCGCACUUUAGAUAGUGGUUCAAUAGAAGAGACACGAAGUGACCUGACCCAGUGUACAUGGGAGGGAAGUGGCAGCACCAAAACCCAAAUCCUCCUGUGUCUGACUCCAAAGGCUCAGCUGUCAGCCACGGCUGUGCUUCUGGCCCAAAGUCCUGGCCAGGGCCUGGCGGAUCUGGCAAGUCUGGCAGUCAGAAUUUAAAAGUGUAAUUGAUGGGGAGAGGAAUCAGAACAGAAUCUACAAAGCUGAAUUAAUAUAGAGGUUCUCUGAUCAGUUAUAGUUAUUUCUUUCAUUCAGCAUGUUCAACAAAAAACAAACCCAGACUUAGGAGAGACUUUGCUCAAAAGGACUUUAUUCAAGGGGAGAAAGGGGCUGUUGCAACAGGGAGAAGGCUCUGAGUAUAAGGCCUGCAAGUGUGUCAGGAGUUAGGCAGGAGGAGUUUUUCUUUUAUGGAGAGGAGUAAACAAGGCUAGAAAGAACCAGGUGUGGGGAAGUGGGGUGAAAGGUGGCAGGAUUGGAUCAUAAAUCCAAAAUGGUUCCACCUCUUCUCAAGAGGGACUGGAUGCUGGCUCGGGCCACGGGGCGCCAAAGUUCAUUCAGGGGCCUGGAGGAGGGAGAGAGGCUUCUUGGAAGUUUGGUUAACAAGCAUUCUGUUCCAAUUGAUCAGUGGGGACCAGAGGCUCUGCUAAUCAUUUAUGAGGCAAAGAAAGGGAAUUUAGAGGGUCUGCAUCUGGCCUUGUUAUAAGUAAACAAGGCGGGCGUCCAUGAGUCUUGUCUAAGUCAUUUGGGGAAGGAAAGGUGGUUCUUUGUAAUGUCAUUUUCUAGAACCCAAAAAGAGUGGGGGCUGGAGGGUAGUCCUUAACCUUCACUGUUUUCCAGGAGCACAGGGCUUGGGUAAAGUUCAACACUGUCAAGCUUACAUCUAUGGAUCUCCUUCCGUGUGUCCAGCCCUGGCGAGUGAAGUGGCCCGUGGCUAGGCUGGCAGAGACGCAGUUCCUCAGGUUCAGGAAAGGCCACGUGAGGACGCAGUGCGAAGGUGGCCAUCUGCAAGCCAGGAAGAGAGCCCUUACCAGAAUCUGAACCCUGACCUGGCACUUUCAGGCUCCAGAACUGUGAGAAGAGGGCAGAAGACGGAAGGAGCAGAUGCUGAAUUGCUGGCUUUCACUAGAUGUUUCAAAACACCAGUGGAUAGAGAGCAGAGAAUUGUGUUGGCAAAGUCAUUAGAAGUUCUGAAGCUACAACUUCUCAUUUUGUAGAGAGGAAUUUAAGACCCAGAGACACAGGGUCUUCAAUUAGACACAGGGGACCUACUCAAGAUUGCAUAGCAGGUUAGUGGUAGCUUUGAGCCAUGAUGGAAGAUAAAUGGAAUCCAAAGCCAGCUCUGCAUUUACUGACUUUGCAACCUUGAUCAAGUCCUGUAAGCCUUCCGGGCCUUGGUCCCCUCUUCUACUGUGUUGUCCCUUAUGCCCUGUAUGGCCGUACCUUCCUUCUGCCUGGAACAAUUCCAGUUUAUGCCUGUUGUCUCAGCACAAUUAUUAUUAAUGCUCCUUCCCUUCUCAUAGUGUUUGGACACACCCUCUACCUCUGUGGCAGUUUGCAUGACACAUGCUCCCAACCCACCCCCUGGCAGACAUUGCUGGUUCAUCACAGAAGCCCAGACAGCUAUCAGGCCUCUGCAUGGAGUAUCCAAGACAGCCAUGACCAAUCAACCAAGAGCAUCAGGGGAGGUGAAAAUGACUUGCCAUCCCACCUCUGUGGAAUCUGGUAGUCUUGAUCUGCUUUCUCAGAAUGUGGGUUAUCUAGCG